GGAGGGUGCAAGCGUUAUCCGGAUUUACUGGGUUUAAAGGGUGCGUAGGUGGGUAGGUAAGUCAGUGGUGAAAUCUUCGAGCUUAACUCGGAAACUGCCAUUGAUACUAUUUAUCUUGAAUACUCUGGAGGUAAGCGGAAUAUGUCAUGUAGCGGUGAAAUGCUUAGAUAUGACAUAGAACACCAAUUGCGAAGGCAGCUUACUACAUAGUUAUUGACACUGAGGCACGAAAGCGUGGGGAUCAAACAGGAUUAGAUACCCUGGUAGUCCACGCCCUAAACGAUGGAUACUCGACAUCAGCGAUACACUGUUGGUGUCUGAGCGAAAGCAUUAAGUAUCCCACCUGGGAAGUACGAUYKCWARAUUG
This 367-nucleotide ribosomal RNA is filed under the name uncultured bacterium. Its description in RNAcentral is "bacterial SSU rRNA". It matches the Rfam family "Bacterial small subunit ribosomal RNA", at positions 527 to 896 of the family's 1533-position model. The record is from RNAcentral.